Molecule: ribosomal RNA, 2909 nt
Organism: Prevotella bivia DSM 20514
Lineage: Bacteria; Pseudomonadati; Bacteroidota; Bacteroidia; Bacteroidales; Prevotellaceae
Rfam family: Bacterial large subunit ribosomal RNA
Source: Rfam
AAGAAAGUAAGAAAGGGCGCAUGGCGGAUGCCUUGGCUCAUGGAGGCGAUGAAGGACGUGAUAAGCUGCGAUAAGCUUCGGGUAGAUGCAAAUAAUCUUUGAUCCGAAGAUUUCCGAAUGGGACAACCUAGCGUGUUGAAGACACGUUACUCUUGCAAUGUAAGAGAGCUAACGCAGGGAACUGAAACAUCUUAGUACCUGUAGGAAGAGAAAAUAAUUUAAUGAUUUCCCUAGUAGUGGCGAGCGAACGGGAAGUAGCCCAAACCUAUGACGUAGCAAUGCGCCAUAGGGGUUGUAGGACCACGACAUUGUAUUAAGUCAAUCGAGAAGAAUAUUCUGGAAAGAAUAACCAUAGAAGGUGAUAGUCCUGUACUCGAAGUGCGACUUAGCAUAGUGGUAUCCUGAGUACCGCGGAACACGUGUAAUUCUGCGCGAAUCAGCCGGGCCCAUCCGGUAAGGCUAAAUACUCCCAUGAGACCGAUAGUGAACGAGUACUGUGAAGGAAAGGUGAAAAGCACUCCGCGAGGAGAGUGAAAUAGUUCCUGAAACCAUGCGCCUACAAGCGGUCGGAGCAAAGUAAUUUGUGACGGCGUGCCUUUUGCAUAAUGAACCUACGAGUUACCAUGUCUGGCAAGGAUAAGUGAUUCAGUCACGCAUCCAUAGUGAAAGCGAGCCUGAACAGGGCGUUAUAGUCAGAUGGGGUAGACGCGAAACCAAGUGAUCUACACUUACCCAGGUUGAAGUUCGGGUAACACCGAAUGGAGGACCGCACCAAUAAGCGUUGAAAAGCUUCUGGAUGAGGUGAGUGUAGGAGUGAAAGGCCAAUCAAACUUGGAGAUAGCUCGUACUCCCCGAAAGGCAUUUAGGUGCCGCGUGCUACGAUCAGCAUAAGAGGUAGAGCGACCGAUAGGUCAAGAGGGCUUCACCGCCUAUUGCGACCUGACGAACUCCGAAUGCUUAUGUUUUGCAGUAGUGCAGUAAGGGGGCGGGUGCUAAGGUCCGUCCCCGAGAGGAGAAGAAUCCAGACCGUCAUCUAAGGUCCCGAAAUUCUGUCUAAGUUAGUCUAACGAAGUGUGGUCCCCGUGACAGCUAGGAUGUUGGCUUGGAAGCAGCCAUUCAUUCAAAGAGUGCGUAACAGCUCACUAGUCGAGGGUCCGUGCAUGGAUAAUAAUCGGGUAUUAAGUCAGAUACCGAAGGUGCGGGAUAGUAUUGUAUAUAAAAAGUAUCGGUAGGGGAGCAUUCCAUCGGCGCAGAAUAUAGACCGUAAGGUUUGUUGGAGCUUAUGGAAAAGCAAAUGUAGGUAUAAGUAACGAUAAAAAGGGUUAGAUUCCCUUUCGCCGAAAGACCGAGGUUUCCCGGGCGAUGCCAAUCAGCCCGGGGUUAGUCGAGUCCUAAGUCUCAUCCGAACGGAGCAGGCGAUGGCAGAUGAGGUUAAUAUUCCUCAACUUGCUUAUAUAGUGAAGUGGAGACGGAGCAGUGACACUGUCGCGUCCUGACGGACAUGGACGUUUAAUAUUUUAGGCAUUGAUAGGUGCAGGCAAAUCCACACCUUGAGCUGAGAAUAGAAAGUACAACAUUCUCCUCGGAGAAAGUUGAUAGUACAGGUAAUCAUACUCCCGAGAAAAUCCGCUAGCGUUAAUAUUUAAGCAACUCGUACCGCAAACGGACACACGUGGUCGGGUAGAAUAUACUAAGGCGUUGAGAGAUUCAUGGUUAAGGAACUAGGCAAAUUGACCCUGUAACUUCGGGAUAAAGGGUCCUCGUAUUUAGCUAUACGAGGCGCAGAGAAUAGGUCCAGGCAACUGUUUAACAAAAACACAGGGCUGUGCUAACUCGAAAGAUGAUGUAUACAGCCUGACACCUGCCCGGUGCUGGAAGGUUAAGAGGAGAGCUUAGAUGUAAAUCGACGGUUUGAAUUGAAGCCCCAGUAAACGGCGGCCGUAACUAUAACGGUCCUAAGGUAGCGAAAUUCCUUGUCGGGUAAGUUCCGACCUGCACGAAUGGUGUAAUGAUCUGGACGCUGUCUCAACCAUGAUCUCAGUGAAAUUGUAGUAUCGGUGAAGAUGCCGAUUACCCGCGAUGGGACGAAAAGACCCCGUGAACCUUUACUACAGCUUAGCAUUGACCUUGGUCAUCCGAUGUGUAGGAUAGGCCGGAGGCUUUGAAGCGGGCGCGCCAGCGUUUGUGGAGCCAUCCUUGAAAUACGGCCCUUUGGCUGUCUGAGGUCUAACGCGCUUUAUGUGCGGACAUUGUUUGGUGGGUAGUUUGACUGGGGUGGUCGCCUCCAAAAGCGUAACGGAGGCUUCCAAAGGUACCCUCAGGUCGAUUGGUAACCGACCUCAUGGAGUGUAAUGGCAUAAGGGUGCUUGACUGGGAGGCAGACAUGCCGAGCAGGUAGGAAACUAGGGCAUAGUGAUCCGGCGGAUGUGUAUGGAAACUCCGUCGCUCAAAGGAUAAAAGGUACUCCGGGGAUAACAGGCUGAUCCCCCCCAAGAGCUCAUAUCGACGGGGUGGUUUGGCACCUCGAUGUCGGCUCGUCACAUCCUGGGGCUGGAGAAGGUCCCAAGGGUUGGGCUGUUCGCCCAUUAAAGUGGCACGCGAGCUGGGUUCAGAACGUCGUGAGACAGUUCGGUCUCUAUCUAUCGUGGGCGUUGGAGUUUUGAGUGGUGCUGACACUAGUACGAGAGGACCGUGUUGGACAGACCUCCGGUUUACCAGUUGUGCCGCCAGGUGCACUGCUGGGUAUCUGAGUCUGGUAUGGAUAAGCGCUGAAAGCAUCUAAGUGCGAAGCCUUCCGCGAGAUGAGAACUCCUCAUAAGGGUCGUCAUAGACGAUGACGUUGAUAGGGUGUAGGUGUACAGACGGUGACGUCAAAGCCGAGCACUACUAAUUGCCCGAAACUUUCUUCG